ACGAACGCUGGCGGCGUGCUUAACACAUGCAAGUCGAACGGAAAGGCCCUGCUUUUGUGGGGUGCUCGAGUGGCGAACGGGUGAGUAACACGUGAGUAACCUGCCCUUGACUUUGGGAUAACUUCAGGAAACUGGGGCUAAUACCGGAUAGGAGCUCCUGCUGCAUGGUGGGGGUUGGAAAGUUUCGGCGGUUGGGGAUGGACUCGCGGCUUAUCAGCUUGUUGGUGGGGUAGUGGCUUACCAAGGCUUUGACGGGUAGCCGGCCUGAGAGGGUGACCGGCAACAGUGGGACUGAGAUACGGCCCAGACUCCUAGGGGAGGCAGCGGUGGGGAAUAUUGCACAAUGGGCGGAAGCCUGAUGCAGCAACGCCGCGUGCGGGAGGACGGCCUUCGGGUUGUAAACCGCUUUCGCCUGUGACGAAGCGGGAGUGACGGUAAUGGGUAAAGAAGCACCGUCUAACU
RNAcentral lists this ribosomal RNA (462 nucleotides) under uncultured bacterium. RNAcentral's name for it is "partial 16S ribosomal RNA". It matches the Rfam family "Bacterial small subunit ribosomal RNA", at positions 29 to 502 of the family's 1533-position model. The record is from RNAcentral.